Molecule: ribosomal RNA, 306 nt
Filed under: uncultured bacterium
Lineage: Bacteria
Description: bacterial SSU rRNA
Rfam family: Bacterial small subunit ribosomal RNA
Source: RNAcentral
GAGUGGGGAUGACGUCAAUCAUCAUGCCCCUUAUGACCUGGGCUACACACGUGCUACAAUGGCUGGUACAACGAGUCGCAAGUCGGUGACGGCAAGCUAAUCUCUUAAAGCCAGUCUCAGUUCGGAUUGUAGGCUGCAACUCGCCUACAUGAAGUCGGAAUCGCUAGUAAUCGCGGAUCAGCACGCCGCGGUGAAUACGUUCCCGGGCCUUGUACACACCGCCCGUCACACCACGAGAGUUUGUAACACCCGAAGUCGGUGAGGUAACCUUUUAGGAGCCACCCCCCAAAGGGGGAAUAAAUGAUU